AACGAACGCUGGCGGCAGGCUUAACACAUGCAAGUCGAACGAGAUCUUCGGAUCUAGUGGCAGACGGGUGAGGAACACGUGGGAACAUCCCUUUCAGUUCGGAAUAACGUUGGGAAACUAACGCUAAUACCGGAUACGUCCUUCGGGGGAAAGAUUUAUCGCUGAAAGAUUGGCCCGCGUCUGAUUAGCUAGUUGGUGAGGUAAUGGCUCACCAAGGCUACGAUCAGUAGCUGAUCUGAGAGGAUGAUCAGCCACAUUGGGACUGAGACACGGCCCAAACUCCUACGGGAGGCAGCAGUGGGGAAUAUUGGACAAUGGGCGCAAGCCUGAUCCAGCCAUGCCGCGUGAGUGAUGACGGCCUUCGGGUUGUAAAGCUCUUUUGUCCGGGAAGAUAAUGACUGUACCGGAAGAAUAAGCCCCGGCAAACCUCGUGCCAGCCGCCGCGGUAA
RNAcentral lists this ribosomal RNA (449 nucleotides) under uncultured bacterium. RNAcentral describes it as "partial 16S ribosomal RNA". It matches the Rfam family "Bacterial small subunit ribosomal RNA", at positions 29 to 523 of the family's 1533-position model. The record is from RNAcentral.